RNAcentral lists this ribosomal RNA (301 nucleotides) under uncultured bacterium. RNAcentral describes it as "partial 16S ribosomal RNA". It matches the Rfam family "Bacterial small subunit ribosomal RNA", at positions 509 to 807 of the family's 1533-position model. The record is from RNAcentral.
CAGUAGCCACGGGAAUACGAAGGGGGCUAGCGUUGCUCGGAAUCACUGGGCGUAAAGGGUGCGUAGGCGGGUUAUUAAGUCAGAGGUGAAAUCCUGGAGCUCAACUCCAGAACUGCCUUUGAUACUGAUAGUCUUGAGUAUGGGAGAGGUGAGUGGAACUGCGAGUGUAGAGGUGAAAUUCGUAGAUAUUCGCAAGAACACCAGUGGCGAAGGCGGCUCACUGGCCCAUUACUGACGCUGAGGCACGAAAGCGUGGGGAGCAAACAGGAUUAGAGACCCGAGUAGUCCCUGUCUCUUAUAC